Molecule: ribosomal RNA, 373 nt
Filed under: uncultured organism
Description: partial 16S ribosomal RNA
Rfam family: Bacterial small subunit ribosomal RNA
Source: RNAcentral
GUAGGUGGCAAGCGUUGUCCGGAAUUAUUGGGCGUAAAGCGCGCGCGGGCGGUUCUUUAAGUCUGAUGUGAAAGCCCACGGGCUCAACCGUGGAGGGUCAUUGGAAACUGGAGAACUUGAGUACAGAAGAGGAAAGCGGAAUUCCACGUGUAGCGGUGAAAUGCGUAGAGAUGUGGAGGAACACCAGUGGCGAAGGCGGCUUUCUGGUCUGUAACUGACGCUGAGGCGCGAAAGCGUGGGGAGCAAACAGGAUUAGAUACCCUGGUAGUCCACGCCGUAAACGAUGAGUGCUAAGUGUUAGGGGGUUUCCGCCCCUUAGUGCUGCAGCUAACGCAUCAAGCACUCCGCCUGGGGAGUACGGCCGCAAAGGCUG